RNAcentral lists this ribosomal RNA (252 nucleotides) under uncultured microorganism. RNAcentral describes it as "partial 16S ribosomal RNA". It matches the Rfam family "Bacterial small subunit ribosomal RNA", at positions 524 to 776 of the family's 1533-position model. The record is from RNAcentral.
UACGUAGGUCCCGAGCGUUGUCCGGAUUUAUUGGGCGUAAAGCGAGCGCAGGUGGUUUAAUAAGUCUGAUGUAAAAGGCAGUGGCUCAACCAUUGUGUGCAUUGGAAACUGGUAGACUUGAGUGCAGGAGAGGAGAGUGGAAUUCCAUGUGUAGCGGUGAAAUGCGUAGAUAUAUGGAGGAACACCGGUGGCGAAAGCGGCUCUCUGGACUGUAACUGACACUGAGGCUCGAAAGCGUGGGGAGCAAACAGG